UUCUUAUGUUGGGCAGUUGCCCCACAAGAUUAUCUUGUGGGGAGGAAAGUCCGAACAUUCCCUCGCCUCUGGCGGGGAGCAGGGUAGCGGGUAACGCCCGUCUUGCCACACCAAUAAAUUGGUGUGGCGAAGAGGUGCGAACAGAGACGCCAAGUAUCGAAAGAUACUUGGGCGCUCUAAACAGGAGCGUAGCCGAGCACUCAGUGUUCUGAAUGCUUGGGUGAAACGGCAAAAUCCUUACCUGAAUGCAAGGCCGAGUCCCGAAUUUUUUGAGGGAAGUGCCGCUUGAGCCUGAUAGCAAUUGAUGGCCCAGAUAAAUAACUGCACCUUGCCACACCAAUUCAUUGGUGUAGAAAGGACAGAAUUCGGCUUAUAGACAUAAGAACCAA
RNAcentral lists this RNase P RNA (389 nucleotides) under Minisyncoccota bacterium. RNAcentral describes it as "RNase P RNA component class A". It matches the Rfam family "Bacterial RNase P class A". From Rfam's summary of the family: Ribonuclease P (RNase P) is a ubiquitous endoribonuclease, found in archaea, bacteria and eukarya as well as chloroplasts and mitochondria. The record is from RNAcentral. Lineage: Bacteria; Bacillati; Minisyncoccota.